This 427-nucleotide ribosomal RNA is filed under the name uncultured bacterium. RNAcentral describes it as "partial 16S ribosomal RNA". It matches the Rfam family "Bacterial small subunit ribosomal RNA", at positions 355 to 774 of the family's 1533-position model. The record is from RNAcentral.
UGGGGAAUAUUGCACAAUGGGCGCAAGCCUGAUGCAGCCAUGCCGCGUGUAUGAAGAAGGCCUUCGGGUUGUAAAGUACUUUCAGCGGGGAGGAAGGCGAUAAGGUUAAUAACCUUGUCGAUUGACGUUACCCGCAGAAGAAGCACCGGCUAACUACGUGCCAGCAGCCGCGGUAAUACGGAGGGUGCAAGCGUUAAUCGGAAUUACUGGGCGUAAAGCGCACGCAGGCGGUCUGUCAAGUCGGAUGUGAAAUCCCCGGGCUCAACCUGGGAACUGCAUUCGAAACUGCCAGGCUAGAGUCUUGUAGAGGGGGGUAGAAUUCCAGGUGUAGCGGUGAAAUGCGUAGAGAUCUGGAGGAAUACCGGUGGCGAAGGCGGCCCCCUGGACAAAGACUGACGCUCAGGUGCGAAAGCGUGGGGAGCAAACA